Molecule: ribosomal RNA, 484 nt
Filed under: uncultured bacterium
Lineage: Bacteria
Description: partial 16S ribosomal RNA
Rfam family: Bacterial small subunit ribosomal RNA
Source: RNAcentral
GAUGAACGCUGGCGGCGUGCCUAACACAUGCAAGUCGAGCGGAUGAAGGGAGCUUGCUCCUGGAUUCAGCGGCGGACGGGUGAGUAAUGCCUAGGAAUCUGCCUGGUAGUGGGGGAUAACGUCCGGAAACGGGCGCUAAUACCGCAUACGUCCUGAGGGAGAAAGUGGGGGAUCUUCGGACCUCUCGCUAUCAGAUGAGCCUAGGUCGGAUUAGCUAGUUGGUGGGGUAAAGGCCUACCAAGGCGACGAUCCGUAACUGGUCUGAGAGGAUGAUCAGUCACACUGGAACUGAGACACGGUCCAGACUCCUACGGGAGGCAGCAGUGGGGAAUAUUGGACAAUGGGCGAAAGCCUGAUCCAGCCAUGCCGCGUGUGUGAAGAAGGUCUUCGGAUUGUAAAGCACUUUAAGUUGGGAGGAAGGGCAGUAAGUUAAUACCUUGCUGUUUUGACGUUACCAACAGAAUAAGCACCGGCUAACUUCGUG